Molecule: ribosomal RNA, 432 nt
Filed under: Hafnia paralvei
Lineage: Bacteria; Pseudomonadati; Pseudomonadota; Gammaproteobacteria; Enterobacterales; Hafniaceae
Description: bacterial SSU rRNA
Rfam family: Bacterial small subunit ribosomal RNA
Source: RNAcentral
UGUUGGGUUAAGUCCCGCAACGAGCGCAACCCUUAUCCUUUGUUGCCAGCGAAUAAUGUCGGGAACUCAAAGGAGACUGCCGGUGAUAAACCGGAGGAAGGUGGGGAUGACGUCAAGUCAUCAUGGCCCUUACGAGUAGGGCUACACACGUGCUACAAUGGCAUAUACAAAGAGAAGCGAACUCGCGAGAGCAAGCGGACCUCAUAAAGUAUGUCGUAGUCCGGAUUGGAGUCUGCAACUCGACUCCAUGAAGUCGGAAUCGCUAGUAAUCGUAGAUCAGAAUGCUACGGUGAAUACGUUCCCGGGCCUUGUACACACCGCCCGUCACACCAUGGGAGUGGGUUGCAAAAGAAGUAGGUAGCUUAACCUUCGGGAGGGCGCUUACCACUUUGUGAUUCAUGACUGGGGUGAAGUCGUAACAAGGUAACCGUA